This 402-nucleotide ribosomal RNA is filed under the name uncultured bacterium. Its description in RNAcentral is "partial 16S ribosomal RNA". It matches the Rfam family "Bacterial small subunit ribosomal RNA", at positions 355 to 774 of the family's 1533-position model. The record is from RNAcentral.
UGGGGAAUAUUGGACAAUGGGCGAAAGCCUGAUCCAGCCAUGCCGCGUGUGUGAAGAAGGUCUUCGGAUUGUAAAGCUCUUUUAGUGAGGAAGAUAAUGACGGUACUCACAGAAGAAGUCCUGGCUAACUCCGUGCCAGCAGCCGCGGUAAUACGGAGAGGGCUAGCGUUAUUCGGAAUUAUUGGGCGUAAAGGGCGCGUAGGCUGGUUAAUAAGUUAAAAGUGAAAUCCCGAGGCUUAACCUAGGAAUUGCUUUUAAAACUAUUAAUCUAGAGAUUGAAAGAGGAUAGAGGAAUUCCUGAUGUAGAGGUAAAAUUCGUAAAUAUUAGGAGGAACACCAGUGGCGAAGGCGUCUAUCUGGUUCAAAUCUGACGCUGAAGCGCGAAGGCGUGGGGAGCAAACA